ACAUCAUUAGGACCGUCGGUCUACCGAGCAAUAUCACCCGCUCGGUGGAAGCCUUUGUCAU
This 61-nucleotide microRNA precursor is filed under the name Bombyx mori (domestic silkworm). Its description in RNAcentral is "mir-2774 microRNA precursor family". It matches the Rfam family "mir-2774 microRNA precursor family". The record is from Rfam by way of RNAcentral. Lineage: Eukaryota; Metazoa; Arthropoda; Insecta; Lepidoptera; Bombycidae.